RNAcentral lists this ribosomal RNA (465 nucleotides) under uncultured bacterium. Its description in RNAcentral is "bacterial SSU rRNA". It matches the Rfam family "Bacterial small subunit ribosomal RNA", at positions 453 to 916 of the family's 1533-position model. The record is from RNAcentral.
UAAUAACGGUGAKUACUUGACSUUACCUACAGAAGAAGCACCGGCUAAUUUCGUGCCMGCAGCCGCGGUAAUACGAAAGGUGCGAGCGUUAAUCGGAWUUACUGGGCGUAAAGCGCGCGUAGGCGGUUUGUUAAGUCAGAUGUGAAAGCCCCGGGCUCAACCUGGGAAUUGCAUUUGAAACUGGYAGGCUAGARUGCAGUAGAGGGAGGUGGAAUUUCCGGUGUAGCGGUGAAAUGCGUASAGAUCGRAAGGAACACCAGUGGCGAAGGCGGCCUCCUGGACUGACAUUGACGCUGAGGUGCSAAAGCGUGGGGAGCAAACAGGAUUAGAUACCCUGGUAGUCCACGCCGUAAACGAUGUCUACUAGUCGUUGGGAAUCUUAGUAUUCUUGGUGACGAAGUUAACGCGAUAAGUAGACCGCCUGGGGAGUACGGCCGCAAGGUUAAAACUCAAAUGAAUUGACGG